GUGUUAUUUUGUUUCUACUUGAGGAUACUAAAACACUGUCAUAUACCACAUUUCAUAGUUACUCUUUCUUUUAGACUACAAACGAGAAUUGGACUCCAUGCAUAUUAAAUGAAGCAGAAAAAAUUAUAUACAAGCUAAUCCGACUGGAUAGUCUCAGUGCUUACUGGAAUGUGAACUGCCGCCUGUCCUACCAGGGGUCCCGAGAACAGAUCUUGGAUCAACUUAAAAAUGAAAUUCUUACCAAGUAGACAGAGACCUCCAAACCAUCAAUACAUUUUCCAGCCAAUAUCAGCCUCUGCAAAACUCUACAUGAAUCCUCAUGCAGAAGCAGAACUCAAAACUCCCAAAUUAGAUUGGAGCAUAGAAGUGCAGAAUAUUGCCAUUGAGCUGACCAAGCCCCAGGUGAGAUGCAAGGGCACGUUAGUAGUUUUCAAUCUAGGUCGCUUUUGUCUUUUGUGAUGAUUCUUUU
This 469-nucleotide long non-coding RNA is filed under the name Cavia porcellus (domestic guinea pig). RNAcentral describes it as "lncRNA (ENSCPOG00000037760.1)". Lineage: Eukaryota; Metazoa; Chordata; Mammalia; Rodentia; Caviidae. The record is from RNAcentral.